RNAcentral lists this small nuclear RNA (173 nucleotides) under Microcebus murinus (gray mouse lemur). Its description in RNAcentral is "U1 spliceosomal RNA (ENSMICG00000018319.3)". The stretch from base 1 to 150 matches the Rfam family "U1 spliceosomal RNA". Rfam says of the family: U1 is a small nuclear RNA (snRNA) component of the spliceosome (involved in pre-mRNA splicing). Its 5' end forms complementary base pairs with the 5' splice junction, thus defining the 5' donor site of an intron. There are significant differences in sequence and secondary structure between metazoan and yeast U1 snRNAs, the latter being much longer (568 nucleotides as compared to 164 nucleotides in human). Lineage: Eukaryota; Metazoa; Chordata; Mammalia; Primates; Cheirogaleidae. The record is from RNAcentral.
ACACUUACCUGGCAGGGGAGAUACCAUGACCAGGAAGCUGGUUUUCCCAGCGUGAGGCUUAUCCAUUGCACUCCGCGGAUGUGCUGAUCCCUGCGAUUUUCCCGAAUGAAAAAGAAAAAAACAACACACUUUACUGCCCAACGUCUGCCCAUCUAACUUAUGUUUUUAUAACA